AAAUGAGAAAACUGAAUGUCAGAGAAAUGAAGCAUCUUACCCAAGAACACAGAGCUAGUGAGUAUCAAAGGCAGAGCAGAAACCAAAUUCUUCCUGAUUCCAAGUCAGACACUUCAUCCACUAUUCCACACUGUCUCAUAUUCAUUUAAAGGCAGCAGUGAUUCCAAAAGGUUACAAAAGAUUCAGCAGUUUUAAGCUUGGGAGGCAAUCAUGCCUGACAGCACAGAUCUCUGCCACCAGACAACCCUGGCAUGGCUUGGAAAGAGGAAUCCUUUCCUACUACCUCAGUUUUGGACCCAGUUCAUUACCAUCUGCAGUGCCCAAGUGAUAUAUACUGAGGAUCACCUUGAUGUAUUAUCUUUCCAACUCCACAUCAGAGCCUGGACAAUAGAUGCUAUUCAUCUACUUACUAUUUCCUGUGUGCACAGGUAGAUGCUGUUUCUAGAGAACAUAAGGACUGAGCAAGAUGGAUAAGAAGCUAUUAAGGCAUACAUGAACAAAAGUACAAAUAAAUUCACCAACCCAGUGGAAUUUCUAGCA
RNAcentral lists this long non-coding RNA (540 nucleotides) under Monodelphis domestica (gray short-tailed opossum). Its description in RNAcentral is "lncRNA (ENSMODG00000040314.1)". The record is from RNAcentral. Lineage: Eukaryota; Metazoa; Chordata; Mammalia; Didelphimorphia; Didelphidae.